AUUGAACGCUGGCGGAAUGCUUUACACAUGCAAGUCGAACGGCAGCACGGGGGCAACCCUGGUGGCGAGUGGCGAACAGGUGAGUAAUACAUCGGAACGUGCCCAGUCGUGGGGGAUAACUACGCGAAAGCGUAGCUAAUACCGCAUACGAUCUACGGAUGAAAGCGGGGGAUCGCAAGACCUCGCGCGAUUGGAGCGGCCGAUGGCAGAUUAGGUAGUUGGUGGGGAAAGGCUCACCAAGCCAACGAUCUGUAGCUGGUCUGAGAGGACGACCAGCCACACUGGGACUGAGACACGGCCCAGACUCCUACGGGAGGCAGCAGUGGGGAAUUUGGACAAUGGGCGAAAGCCUGAUCCAGCCAUUCCGCGUGCAGGAUGAAGGCCCUCGGGUUGUAAAC
Molecule: ribosomal RNA, 398 nt
Filed under: uncultured bacterium
Lineage: Bacteria
Description: bacterial SSU rRNA
Rfam family: Bacterial small subunit ribosomal RNA
Source: RNAcentral